Molecule: small nuclear RNA, 104 nt
Organism: Bubalus bubalis (water buffalo)
Lineage: Eukaryota; Metazoa; Chordata; Mammalia; Artiodactyla; Bovidae
Source: RefSeq, a predicted model, not a curated record
GUGCUCACUUCAGCAGCAUAUAUACUAAAAUUGGAAGAAUACAGAGAUCAGCAUGGCCCCUGCACGAGGAUGACACGCAAAUUCAUGAAGCGUUCUGUUUUUUU